GGGGUUGUGGCUCAGGGGCAGAGCGCUCGCCUUGCACGCAUGGGGCACUGGGUUUGAUCCUCAGCACCCCA
This 71-nucleotide transfer RNA is filed under the name Ictidomys tridecemlineatus (thirteen-lined ground squirrel). Its description in RNAcentral is "Spermophilus tridecemlineatus (thirteen-lined ground squirrel) tRNA". It matches the Rfam family "tRNA". Rfam says of the family: Transfer RNA (tRNA) molecules are approximately 80 nucleotides in length. Their secondary structure includes four short double-helical elements and three loops (D, anti-codon, and T loops). Further hydrogen bonds mediate the characteristic L-shaped molecular structure. tRNAs have two regions of fundamental functional importance: the anti-codon, which is responsible for specific mRNA codon recognition, and the 3' end, to which the tRNAs corresponding amino acid is attached (by aminoacyl-tRNA synthetases). tRNAs cope with the degeneracy of the genetic code in two manners: having more than one tRNA (with a specific anti-codon) for a particular amino acid; and 'wobble' base-pairing, i.e. permitting non-standard base-pairing at the 3rd anti-codon position. The record is from Rfam by way of RNAcentral. Lineage: Eukaryota; Metazoa; Chordata; Mammalia; Rodentia; Sciuridae.